AUGGCCAUUUUUAUAUUUUAUUUCCAUGACAAGUUAAUUAAUUCACCUUUAUUAACAUGGAUUUACCUAAAUCCCCAUGACAAUUUUUUAACAUUUAUUGCCAUGGCAAGUUUUACUAUUUAUUUGCAAUGGCAAAUUUACCUUUUAUUAACAUGGCAAAUUUACCUAAAUCCACAUGGCCAUUUUUUAAUAUUUAUUGCCAUGCCAAGUUUUACUACUUAUUUUCCAUGGAAAAUUUACCUUUUAUUAACAUGGCAAAUUUACAAUCCCCAUGGCCAGUUUUUAAUUUUACUGUCAUGA
RNAcentral lists this ribosomal RNA (300 nucleotides) under Triticum aestivum (bread wheat). Its description in RNAcentral is "partial small subunit ribosomal RNA". The record is from RNAcentral. Lineage: Eukaryota; Viridiplantae; Streptophyta; Magnoliopsida; Poales; Poaceae.